CUCAGACCCGAAAAUUGUAUAAGAUUAAGUAGACUAUUGUUUACGUCAUAUGGAUAUAAUAUAGGCCUACAGUUUUUUUUAAAUCCCGCGCGGUAAGCAUUGGUUAAAUCGGCUUGGUCUAACAAUCAGUCAUCUCCCUCAAGGUGCGUGCACACUGUCAGCUAGCUGGAGCUACAAAGAGGCACUCUAUCGUUCAUUUCCAACCAGAGCCAGCGAAUCACGGCGACAGCGGGGGGAGCUACUCUCGGAGACGAAAUCUCCCAGCGACAGUUGAGAUAUGUUCAACUUUAUGCUAAUUUCCAGCGAGCGUGUUCGGCGACUACCAAUGGCAGGGCAUAUGUUCCGUGCUUCUUGAGAGAAGAGUAUUAUCUGCAGACCGCAAGUUGGGGGCAUAACUUAAUAUGGGGGUUCCUUAAUAUUAAAUUACGCCCAUUGACGGUUUCCAUUGGUGUGGUGGUUUUUGAUUUAGUGCAUUCGUUUAUGAAGGAAGAAUUACAAGGUCAAUAACGAAGAUUUCGUUGCCAAGAUGCGUUGUUGACCUGGGGGAUGCUGUUGCCUGGGUAAAUGCCACCACGGGCCUGUUCUGAGACGGUGUACAUGUCCUCACCCCUGAAUGAUGAGGAAAUACAGGGUGCUGUGCAGAUGCUCAGAGGCCUCAACUGUAGAGGAAGAACAAGAAGCUCUCUCCUCAUUCAUGUUUUUGUUUAAUAAUUUUGAAGACACUGAAACAUUCAUGGAUGAAAUAGACAAAAGAGGACUUAGUGAUCAUUUUGAGCUUCUCUGUUAAUUAUUUUUGUUGUUGAGGAUACCUAUUAGCUGUCUUUAAACCAUCAGCUAAUGCUGGUCUCCACACAACAAAAAUUACAAGAUCCAGAAAACACAAUAUAGUUUGAUGAGACAGAGACAAGAAACAUCAGUUGUGUAGCAAGAGUAAACUGGACAGUGUUUUGGAAGUGUUUACCUGGCCAUACAACAUGAUAGGAUGAAACCAAAGCCUACAGAAUCUGGGCAAAGCUGAAUACAUAGUACAUAUAGAAACAGUUUAGUUUUGUCAGUGUUGGAAUGUAAUGUUUUGAAUAUUUGAUUGGGUGAUAAAAUGUUAAAAUGUCUAACUGGCAUAUCAUUACAUUUUUUAUUUUUAGGUUAUGACAUUAACUUUUUUGGGCUACAUUAGUGGUUAUGCCAUUAAGAUUUUG
Long non-coding RNA from Esox lucius (northern pike), 1196 nucleotides. Lineage: Eukaryota; Metazoa; Chordata; Actinopteri; Esociformes; Esocidae. The record is from Ensembl.